AUGGCGACCGCGGCAGUUGCCGGCGCGGAGCAGCGCCAGCGUCACGCCGUGUUCUUCCCUUUCCCGGCGCAGGGCCAUGUGAAGGCGGCGGUCGGCCUGGCCCAGCUCCUCCACCGUUGCCAUGGCUUCCAGGUCACCUUCGUCCACACGGAGCACAACCGCCGCCGCCUCCUCCGCUCGCGCGGCCCCGGCGCGCUGGACGGGGUCCCCGGGUUCCAAUUCGCCGCCGUCCCGGACGGCCUUCCACCAUCCGAGGCGGACGCGUCGCAGGACAUGGGCGCCCUGCUGUCCAGCAUGGAGGCCUUGGUCCCGCACUUGAGGAGCCUCGUCUCCGGCCUGCUCCCGCCCGCGUCCUGCGUCAUCUCCGACGUCGAGCACGUCCUGUAUGGGUCCAAGGAGAUGGGUAUCCCCUGCGUCACCUUCUGGACGACCAGCGCGUUCGCCUUCAUGGCGUCCCAGCAGUUGCAGCGGCUCGUGGAUAUGGGCAUUGUCCCCCUCAAAGAGGCUGAGCAGCUGAGGAAUGGAUACCUGGACGACACGGUCCUGGACUGGGUGCCGGGGAUGCCCAGCGACAUCCGCCUCAGAGACUUCCCGAGCUUCGUCCGCACCACGGACCCCGACGACGCCAUACUCAAAAUCAUCCUGAACGCAAUGGCGUGCCACAGGACCACUCCGUCCGCCAUCAUCUUCCACACCUUCGACGAGAUCGACCGCGAGGCCAUGGCGGCCAUGUCCACCAUCCUGCCACCCAGCUACGCCGUCGGGCCACUGCCGCUCCUCCUCGGCCAAGUCUCUGGCGGCGGCGUGGUUGACACGACGCUGGAACCAGACCUGUCAAGGGUGAACCACGCCUGCCUGGAGUGGCUGAACGGCAAGCGGCCAGACUCGGUGCUGUACGUGAGCUUCGGGAGCAUAGCGACGCUCACGAGCAGCCAGCUGGUGGAGUUCGCGUGGGGUCUGGCCAACAGCAAAAUGGACUUCCUGUGGGUGAUCAGAGACGAUCUAGUGAGCGACGGCGACGGCCCUGCCGCCGCCGUGCUGCCACCGGAGUUCCUAGAGGAGACGAAAGCGAGGAGCCACGUGACGAGCUGGUGCCCGCAGGAAGCGGUGCUCCGGCACAAGGCGACGGGCGCGUUUCUGACGCAGUGCGGGUGGAACUCCGUCCUGGAGAGCCUCGGCGCCGGGGUGCCGAUGCUGUGCUGGCCCUUCGGCGCCGAUCAGUACACGAACGCAAGGUACGCCUGCUCCGAGUGGCGCGUCGGCUUGGAGAUCGGCGGCGACGUCAAGAGGGGCGAGGUGGAGGCAGCCGUCAAAGAGGUGAUGGAAGGGGACAAGGGAAAAGAGAUGAAGAGGUUGGCGAUGGAAUGGAAGGAGAAGGCUGCCAUGGCUGCACUGCCAGGUGGGCCAUCUUGGGUAAAUCUGGAGAAGGUGGUCAAUGAGGUGCUUACUGUGGCUCCUGGCUCCUGCAAGGAGUAG
Molecule: ribosomal RNA, 1476 nt
Filed under: Triticum aestivum (bread wheat)
Lineage: Eukaryota; Viridiplantae; Streptophyta; Magnoliopsida; Poales; Poaceae
Description: partial small subunit ribosomal RNA
Source: RNAcentral